Molecule: ribosomal RNA, 326 nt
Filed under: uncultured eukaryote
Lineage: Eukaryota
Description: partial 18S ribosomal RNA
Rfam family: Eukaryotic small subunit ribosomal RNA
Source: RNAcentral
CCCUUAGAUGUCCUGGGCCGCACGCGCGCUACACUGAACGGAUCAGCGCGUUUUCCCUUCCCGAGAGGGACGGGUAACCUGCUGAACCCCGUUCGUGGUAGGGAUCGGGGCUUGCAAUUAUUCCCCGUGAACCAGGAAUGCCCAGUAAGUGCAAGUCAUAAGCUUGCGUUGCUUACGUCCCUGCCCUUUGUACACACCGCCCGUCGCUACUACCGAUUGAACGUUUUAGUGAGGUACUCGGACUGAGCCUCAGAAGAUUCACGUCUUUUGUGCUGCUCGGGAAGAUUCCCAAACUUGAGCGUUUAGAGGAAGUAAAAGUCGUAACA